Non-coding RNA from Pelobates cultripes (western spadefoot toad), 438 nucleotides. The record is from the annotation of a GenBank genome assembly. NCBI's taxonomy places the organism in Eukaryota, Metazoa, Chordata, Amphibia, Anura, Pelobatidae.
GGAGAAAAGGAGACCACUAAGGGAGGUGGGGGGGAGAGGAGAGACCACUAAGGGGCAGGGGAGAUCUCUAAGGAAUGGAAAUGAGAGCUCUAUAGGACAGGGGGACAGGGAGCUCUUUCACACCACGCGCACACACACACACACAGUGCAUCCCUAUACACACAGAAACACAACAUGCUUCCCUUACACACAGAGAAACACACAAUGCAACCCUUACACAUAAAGACAAUACAUCCUUUGCACAUAUCCACAGAACACACAGAAUGCAUCCCUUACACACACAUGCAAACACACACUGUUUCUCUUACACACACACACAGAAACACAAUGCAUCUCUUACACACACUCAACACACCCCUUACAGACACACACACUGCAUCCCUUACAUACACAGAAACACACUUUGCAUCCCUUAUGCAUACAAACACAGAUUCACAC